AAGGUAAGACGAUCUGCCGCGCCACUUGUGGUGAGGAAAGUCCGGACAGGGCAGGGCACCCUGCUGCGGAAAGCGCAGAUGGGAGCAAUCUUAUUCGGUCCGUAACAGAAAACAACCGCCGGAAAUACCUGUCACCUCGUUUUAUAGGUAGGACCGGCAAGGGUGAAAACGCGGGGUAAGAGCCCACGACGGCCGUCAGCGAUGCCGGCCGGGUACGACGACAGGGCCUGCAAGACCAAAUAUACUGGCAGACGAGGGCGGCCCGCCCGAUGCCAGGGGGUAGGUUGCGAAGAUAAAUGGCAGAUUUAAAAACAGAACCCGGCUUACGGCCUUGCCUUUGGA
Molecule: RNase P RNA, 342 nt
Filed under: Bacteroidales bacterium
Lineage: Bacteria; Pseudomonadati; Bacteroidota; Bacteroidia; Bacteroidales
Description: RNase P RNA component class A
Rfam family: Bacterial RNase P class A
About the family: Ribonuclease P (RNase P) is a ubiquitous endoribonuclease, found in archaea, bacteria and eukarya as well as chloroplasts and mitochondria. Its best characterised activity is the generation of mature 5'-ends of tRNAs by cleaving the 5'-leader elements of precursor-tRNAs. Cellular RNase Ps are ribonucleoproteins.
Source: RNAcentral